This 1186-nucleotide long non-coding RNA is filed under the name Helianthus annuus (common sunflower). RNAcentral's name for it is "hypothetical non coding rna". The record is from RNAcentral. Lineage: Eukaryota; Viridiplantae; Streptophyta; Magnoliopsida; Asterales; Asteraceae.
GUUGACCAAAUUACUCCAGAAAACAGAAUGUCUGUUAUCAAUCAAGUACUCAUCAAUCGAAGAACUUUCUUUUAAGUGCGUUUCAGUUUCACCGAAUAACAAGAUACUUCCAGAAUAACCUCCGGUUUGCAUACGCGCAUUUGCAAUGAUUGAGCGGUUCACGGGACCUGUUUUGACACUCGUGUUCGUCAACAGGGAUGACAACUCACAAACCAAAUCAUUUAUAAACGACUGAGGUCCGGAGUUGGUACCGCUUCGGAGCUUACGGAAUAAGUAGGUUGCGCCCCAUGCUAACAACUGGUGGCAAACACUCGAGCUAAUAAAACUGUCAACUGUUGUACCUUGCUUUGAAAGAAUAAGUGAUUUCUCUUCAACGGUGAAUGCUGAAUAUAACCGGAAAACAAUUAAACGCUCACGAUGUGAAUCGAUGGUGAUCCUCUUAAGCGAUUUUAUAUCAUUUGACGGGUUCCGGUCACUGUUGAAUAAUAUAACGACAUCCACACGGGAAAGCCGAAGAUUUGACAGACAAGCAAGGUGAUCACAUAAGCAAACGAACCUAUCGCUCUCGGCUUUGUUGAACAUUUCUAACGCUUCUUCUUUCUUUACAUAUCCAGAACGAGAAAGCGUCCACCAGGGGAUAUACACAUACGAAUUCUCGCCGAAUCUUUGACGAACAAGAUCAUCCAAAUAACGCCCGGUUGACAUCUUCUCUGAAUUAACCGUCGACUGUCAAUCAACAAAACAGUUCAAGCAUGUAAAAACUAAAGUACAUUAAAAGAUUUACUUACGUGAAAUAGUACAAGUGCUCUCAAACCGCAUCGUUUAAUCUCCAACAGGAUCUUGUCGAAAACAUGCAGUUUGCCACUGACAUGGAUCAAAGAAGCUUCUUUCGAUGAAUUACGUAAAGUGGGGUCCACUAGAUACGGGUGAUCGCAGCACUGCAAGAUUAAUUAAUCGAAUUAAAGAAGCUUCUACUAUAUAGUAUGUGGAACAAUAGAUAUACAACGUUUACAACUACAAAAAAAAAAAAAAAAAAAAAAAAAAAAAAAAAAAAACCUUUUGGAUCUGUGUGAUGACAUCAUUGAGUGAAGAUGUUCUUGAUAAUGAAGCGAGUAUGAAUCGGGACCCAAUACUCUUCAAGAUCAGUGGUGCCGAACUUGCACUCGUUGCUACCUGUUGUGUAUGA